This 253-nucleotide ribosomal RNA is filed under the name uncultured bacterium. RNAcentral describes it as "partial 16S ribosomal RNA". It matches the Rfam family "Bacterial small subunit ribosomal RNA", at positions 524 to 776 of the family's 1533-position model. The record is from RNAcentral.
UACGGAGGGUGCGAGCGUUGUCCGGAAUCACUGGGCGUAAAGGGCGCGUAGGCGGCGCGGUAAGCGUGCGGUGAAAGCCCGGGGCUCAACCCCGGGUCGGCCGUGCGGACUGCCGGGCUCGAGCACUGUAGAGGCGGGUGGAAUUCCGGGUAUAGCGGUGGAAUGCGUAGAGAUCCGGAAGAACACCGGUGGCGAAGGCGGCCCGCUGGGCAGUGGCUGACGCUGAGGCGCGACAGCGUGGGGAGCGAACAGG